ACACAUACAUGCAUGCAUAGGAAGUUCAAUAUUCAGAUUCAUUCAAAAAACAGGAGACAUUAGAAAUUACAGAAAAAAUAAUACAUACGUAUAAAAGAACAUAGCAACAGGCUUGUUUGUUUUGAGGAAGUUCAAUAUUCAGAUUCAGUCAAAAAACAGGAGCAAUUAAAAUUUACAGAAUAAAUAGUACAUGCAUGCAUGCAUAUAUACAUAGAGAGAACACUGGUCACCUUCUUCCAACCAUUUGCCUUCUAUUUCUUCUAUUAUUAAUGAUGAAAAAUAAAUAUAUAAUAUGGCAUGACUUUAGUAUAAGUUCCACCACUAUAUGUUCCUUGUACCCCUUUCAACUCAAAGCCCGCAAUCAUCAAAAUCCUAGCGAUUUCAAGCACCAGACUCAAUAUUCUGAAUUAUAAGAUAACCAUGUAUAAACCGCAAUAACCUAAAAGCAGGUAACUGAGCAGAAACCUAAAAAAUACAAUCACCAAAAGUAACUUACAUUUGCAAUAAGAUAAACAAAAUCAUAAAAAUAUUGUAAUAAAA
This 540-nucleotide long non-coding RNA is filed under the name Phoenix dactylifera (date palm). RNAcentral describes it as "long non-coding RNA (PDAC_LNC012282)". Lineage: Eukaryota; Viridiplantae; Streptophyta; Magnoliopsida; Arecales; Arecaceae. The record is from RNAcentral.